AAUAGGAUAGAUUACUUACGAUCAAGGCAGAUCCUUACCCAAAUCAGAUGUCCAAGAACUUUCCUCCAUUAGAUCUAGCUUUAGAGCUCUGAUACCAAUUGUUGAUAAGAUCGAAUCUUCUCUUGCUGAUCAUAGAUUGUGGAAGCAGCAGUAAGGGUGGGAAGAAAAUCUUAAUGGCAGAUCAUAUCAGGCCUAGAAGAAUCCUACGUGUAAAAAAGAGGAGAGGAGAAACAUGAAAGAGGGAGAGAG
Molecule: long non-coding RNA, 249 nt
Filed under: Elaeis guineensis (African oil palm)
Lineage: Eukaryota; Viridiplantae; Streptophyta; Magnoliopsida; Arecales; Arecaceae
Description: long non-coding RNA (EGUI_LNC020338)
Source: RNAcentral